This 253-nucleotide ribosomal RNA is filed under the name uncultured bacterium. Its description in RNAcentral is "partial 16S ribosomal RNA". It matches the Rfam family "Bacterial small subunit ribosomal RNA", at positions 524 to 776 of the family's 1533-position model. The record is from RNAcentral.
UACGAGUGCCCCAAGCGUUAUCCGGAAUCAUUGGGCGUAAAGGGUGUGUAGGCGGUUGGGUUAGUCUUGUGUUAAAAUUCCCGGCUUAACUGGGAAAUCGCACGGGAAACGGCACAACUAGAGGAUGCGAGGGGUCUGUAGAACUCAUGGAGUAGGGGUGAAAUCCGUUGAUAUCAUGGGGAAUACCAAAAGCGAAGGCAGCAGACUGGCGCACUCCUGACGCUGAAACACGAAAGCGUGGGUAGCGAAUGGG